Molecule: long non-coding RNA, 708 nt
Filed under: Lynx pardinus (Iberian lynx)
Lineage: Eukaryota; Metazoa; Chordata; Mammalia; Carnivora; Felidae
Source: RNAcentral
CACACAACUCCUCCUGGCUAAGGCCUGCGCUGGAGGCAGAAACUGAAUUCUCCUGGCCCGCCGCGAGGAGACCGCGUCCUGCCCCCACCCCAGGUGGGUAUCUGGGAUCCCUACAAGCCAGGAGUCAGGCCCCUAAGCCCAGCAGGAGUGAAACCCCUAGGGCCUGUGAACGUGGCCCUCUCAACGCCACGGCCUGCAUUCCCGCCGGCCCCCCCGCCCGCCCUGCCGCCCCGCAGCAAACGGGGCUGUUUCCGGCUCCCCCAACCCGGUCUGGUUUCCCAGCCUGGGGAGUGGCUGAAGGAGGAGCGGCCCCAGAACCAGGGGUGCUCUCUGCCCGAAGCCCCCAUGGCUCUGGGCGCCUUGUUACCUGAUCUUUGUGUGAUGUGUGUGUCGCAAGGAAAUUUGCAGUGACUUUGGAGCCCAGACUGAGGAAGCGGAGGUGGCGAAAGGAGAGACAAUACGGGCCCGAAGUACAAUUAAGGGGCCAGAGCCGCUAGUCUCUCCCCCGCCCUCCCUGCCAGACUAGGAGCUGUCUGGCCUCAAACCUCAGGGCAACCCGCGAACCUGGAGCCGGAAACUCAGCCCGUGCCGGAGGGAACCAGAGGAUCCGGCAUCCAGAACGUUGGAGGAGAGCUCCCUUCCAACUUGGGGGCGCAGCAACCAGCCCUGCUGUGUUGCGGCGAAUCCAAUGAAUGAAAGUGCACAUUC